GACGUAGGGCGCGAGCGUUGUCCGGAAUCACUGGGCGUAAAGGGCGCGUAGGCGGCCUGAUAAGUAGGGGGUGAAAUCCUGUGGCUUAACUGCAGGGCUGCCUCCUAGACUGUUAGGCUCGAGCACGGUAGAGGCAGAUGGAAUUCCCGGUGUAGCGGUGGAAUGCGUAGAGAUCGGGAAGAACAUCGGUGGCGAAGGCGGUCUGCUGGGCCGUUGCUGACGCUGAGGCGCGACAGCGUGGGGAGCAAACAGG
Molecule: ribosomal RNA, 253 nt
Filed under: uncultured bacterium
Lineage: Bacteria
Description: partial 16S ribosomal RNA
Rfam family: Bacterial small subunit ribosomal RNA
Source: RNAcentral